AUGAGUACCUGUAUGUGAGCCCCCAACUGUUGGGGGUGUAUUUGUCUAGUCGGAAUCCCGUUGUUUGUGGGUGACCUCAGUCUUCCUCAUUUCUCUUCACACCUUUAAGUUUUAGUUAUUUACUUAUUGUGUGAUUUUUGUUUUUUAUUGUGGGGGGAGCACAAGGGUACAUACAGUGUUUACGUGUGGAGGUCAGCUAGUUCUCUCCUUCCACCAUCUGGGCUUCAGGGUGGAAGGAGUCCAGCGUGUCAGGCUUGGUUGUUGGCACCUCGGCCUACUGGGCCAUCUCGACAGCUCUAUAUACCUUUAAAUGGUGGGAUUUCUUCUGUACCUAACGGGUGGCCUUGGGUGCAGUUGAGGUCCAAAGUAUAAGAGGCAUUCGUGAGUCUAGUCUAUAAGUGUCUGUUCCUUGGUGACCGGGGUGCUAGCUCUUCUUGCUCAGUGGUCUUCCCUAUGAACAGUGCAGACACCAUGAAACCCUCCCUCUCAGGUCUCUACUGCUCCCUUCCCCUUAAAGGGAAGAUUUUAUGCAUUAGGAAAAUGUGGAGGGGGAGGGGCGAACACCUUAAUGGAAUUUUAGAUCUAUUCAGCACUUUUUCUGGUAUUGCUUCAAAAAAAAAAAUCCCCUCAGCUGUAAUAAAAAAAAAAUUGUGAGCAGGCAUCUGAUUACGGAGCUUUUUACAAUGUAGUUUUUCUUCUGGAUGCUUUUGAAUGAGUACGCGCCGUUUAAACGCAAGCCCCUGUACACUUUCUGGGGUGGAAAAGUUGCAGAAGAACACCAGAAAGCUUAUAAUGCUGGGAGAAUCGAUGAGCAGUAGUCGGUUUGCGCUGGGGAUGCAAGCGGUAAAGCCAGAGUUGGACUUCCUGUCCUCUUCCCGUCCCUUUUAAGGUGACCAAGACUUCGCUGGCCCUGCCCGUGUGUCCUGUGAAACUCUAGGAGAGAAAUCCCUACCCUAACCUUUGUUGGAAGACUGUGGGCUGCGGGCCCAGCUUAGGUAUUUGUUCCGCAGAAAAACGAUGUUGGGUAUUUCCCAUAAGUGAGCCCAGCCAUUUUUCAGUCCAAGGUGGGGCAUUUGGGUGAUGUCUCAUAGUGCCCGGCUGCCCUGCGUUCUCAGAAGGUGUGGGACUUCUGCGUUGGGAAUGCGUGCACUGAGGGGUUUGCUGGAGUGUUUUGGGCCUCAGAAAUAGUCUGGUCAAGAAGCAAGGGGGCUUGUGAAGCUGACUUGUGUGGGGCUGGAGACAGGGAGGUGCAAGCAGGGGUCUUCCUGGAGCUCGUUGAGGGGACGACACCCACACACUACCAUUUAUCUGGGCUGGGCCAUUAACCUCAACAGAAAAGGGCUUUUUCCUCGGGAGGUAGCCUGGCGGCAAAUUGCUGGGUAGACUGGCUGUGUAGAUGAAAGAGAAACCCAGGCAGGCGUCUUCCCCUCCAUACUCUCUCCCCACGGGCCUCAGGCUCCAGCAUUGCCCAGUUUGUUCUGUCCCAGAGGCUUGCCUGGCAGACAGGACCCUCACCCCUUGCUAAGGAGGCCAACAGGCCUGGCAUGGGGAGCAACUUGAUCCCAAACUCCUCCUCCCUCCUCCUUCCUCCUUCACAUUCCCUUCCCCCUACCCUUGGUGUCUGGUGCCAGGUUUCAGUGGGGCUGGGCUGCAUGAAACAGGCAUUGUAAGGCCCCUCUUAAAGAGUCUCCCCAACCUCCCCCCUUCAGCUGCUCCCCAAGUCUUCCUUUCCCUGUCCGGGUUUCUUGACCCAAGUUCCACACACUUUGGGUGAGCACUCUUGUGUCCAGAAGUGUCUUUCUUACUUUCUUGGACUAACUAACUUUAGGGGUCGUUGGUGUGGCCUUCAGAGCUGAGCUCCCUCUCUGCAAGAAAGAAAGUUCAGAGCUUGCCAGCGCUCACGAGUUUAUUAGCAGUUGAUGGAUACUUUGCAGAAACAAGUUAAUGCCUGAUGAGUCACCUUCUGCUCUGAGCCCUCGUCCCUCUCUUGUUUUUCGUCCUUUCUAGUAUGUGCGGGCACAGACAUUCCACCAUCAUAAACGCACACUCAGACACAUGCGGUCUUAUAUGCUUGGGUUGUGGGUCCAUGGCACUGGGGGCAGGGGACAGUGCAGGUCUGUGAUGUUUUUUUUUUUUCCCCAGUGGCGUGGGGAUUCAGGAAAGGAAUCCAACACUAUCUUGGCAUCCUCUUUGUGUGUAGCUGGGCAUGGGUCGGGGAGGCCAGCUAGAGGGGGUGUCUGUAAGUAGGGGACAGUCACUCAGGAUUUGUGUGUAUGUGGCUACCUUUGUG
RNAcentral lists this long non-coding RNA (2290 nucleotides) under Mus musculus (house mouse). RNAcentral describes it as "long non-coding RNA chr18:75389918-75392208". Lineage: Eukaryota; Metazoa; Chordata; Mammalia; Rodentia; Muridae. The record is from RNAcentral.